AGCGGCUCUCAGCCGUUAAGUGGAGAAUGUUCAGGACUGUCGAGGCGCGCUCCGCACCUGGCCUGAAAGCGGGAGAUUUGGCAACCAGUGCGCGUGGGUGCGCCGGCCCUUGCAGCUGGGGACUCUGGAGGCAGACCUUGCCCAAAGCCAGAGGCAGGAACUCCCCAGAUCCUCCCAGGAGACCAACAAUUGUCAGCACAGCAAAACUGGGCAUUUCUUUUCUUACUGAGCUUUGCAGCUACCUACACAGUUGUGUGUGGCAUCUCCUCCUGGGUGCAAGGACAUGAGAUGACAUCAGGGUCUUGCUGUGUCAUCCAGGCUGGAGUGCAGUGAUAUGAGCAUGGCUCACUGCAGCCUCGACCUCCCAGCUUCAAGCAAUGCUCCCACCUUGGCCUCCCAAAGCGCUGGGAUUACAGGCAUGAGCCACCAUGCCUGGCCAUUGCCAUUGCACUUCAGCUGGUUCUCCUGAACCUUGAAUUAUCUUAGGAAAGAUUGUAUUUUCAGGAAUUAAGUCUAUUGGAGACACAGCAGGACUCCACAGCCAGCUAGAUUUGGAUAAAAUGUAGACUGCCUCAAGGCCAGUGUGUUGACUUCUGACCAGUCUCAUCUGAACCCACACCCUUUAACAUAUAUACAAAACACCUGAA
This is a long non-coding RNA of Homo sapiens (human), 647 nucleotides long. Ensembl annotates it as long intergenic non-protein coding RNA 904. NCBI's taxonomy places the organism in Eukaryota, Metazoa, Chordata, Mammalia, Primates, Hominidae. The record is from Ensembl.